Molecule: long non-coding RNA, 1098 nt
Filed under: Numida meleagris (helmeted guineafowl)
Lineage: Eukaryota; Metazoa; Chordata; Aves; Galliformes; Numididae
Description: lncRNA (ENSNMEG00000002618.1)
Source: RNAcentral
AUGAAGUGGAGCGUGCGGGGAGCCUGCGCCGCGCUCUCCAGCUGCCUCCUGCUCGCCUGCGCCCUCAGCGCCGCCGCCGUGGGCCUCAAGUGCUUCUCGCUGGGCUCCGAGCUGAAGGGAGAGCCCUUCCGCCUGGGCACCGCCGCCGGCGCCUUCUACUCGGGGCUGCUGCUGGCCGCCGGCCUCUCGCUGCUCGCCGCCGCGCUACUCUGCUGCCGCCCGCCCGACGAGGCGCCCGCGGCCCCGGCUCCGGCCCCCGACCCGGGCAGCGGCCCCGGCCCCGGCCCCGGCCCCGGCCCCGGCCCCGGCCCCGGCCCCGGCCCUGGCCCUGGCGGGAGCGAGGCUGCAGCGGCCGCACCGUCGGGGCCGGGAGAGAAGGCGUCGCCCGGGGGGCGGCAGAACUUCCUGCUGCUGGGGGUGCUGGUGUUCAUGCUGGGCGUGCUGAGCGCUUUCGCCGGCGCCGUCAUCGACGGCGACACCGUGUCGCUAGUGGAGAGGAAGUACUCGCACUACUGCUUGCUGCAGCCCGGCGGCGCGGCCCGCCCGCGGAGCGGCCCCGCGGCCCCCGACGGCUCGGCGGCGGCGCUCCGCUGCCAGAAGCUGCGGGACUACCAGCGCGGCUUGGUGCUCUCCACCGUCUUCAACGCGCUGGAGUGCCUGCUGGGCCUGCUCAACUUGCUCCUCGUCAAGAACUACAAGGCCUCGCAGCAGCGCGGGCGCCGGCGGCGGCGGCGGAGGGCGGCCCCGGCAGCGGCGGCCCCGGCGGGCGGGCGGCGGCGGCGGCGGAGGGGCGGCGGCGGGCGGAGGGCGACUCGCCACAGCCAGGGCUCCCUCUUUUCGGGCGGCGAGCCCGAGCUCAGCCCCGGGGACUGCCCCUUCCAGGCCGUCUCCUACAUCAACGUGGGCGUCUUCCACGUCUUCGACGAGGCCGGCGUGGAGGUGCACUGCGGCGGGCACCCCUCCGUCGAGCUGCCCGGCUACUCGCCUAUGGAUCCCGAGUUGAACGCCUCCUACCCGUACUGCUACCCGCUGCCCAGCGAGCAGCCCCCCGCCUACGAAGAGAUCUACCCCGGGGAGCCCUGCGCCCACGGCACCUAG